This 241-nucleotide ribosomal RNA is filed under the name uncultured Staphylococcus sp. RNAcentral describes it as "partial 16S ribosomal RNA". It matches the Rfam family "Bacterial small subunit ribosomal RNA", at positions 99 to 334 of the family's 1533-position model. The record is from RNAcentral. Lineage: Bacteria; Bacillati; Bacillota; Bacilli; Caryophanales; Staphylococcaceae.
CGGACGGGUGAGUAACACGUGGAUAACCUACCUAUAAGACUGGGAUAACUUCGGGAAACCGGAGCUAAUACCGGAUAAUAUAUUGAACCGCAUGGUUCAAUAGUGAAAGAUGGUUUUGCUGUCACUUAUAGAUGGAUCCGCGCCGCAUUAGCUAGUUGGUAAGGUAACGGCUUACCAGGGCAACGAUGCGUAGCCGACCUGAGAGGGUGAUCGGCCACACUGGAACUGAGACACGGUCCAG